GACGAACGCUGGCGGCGUGCUUAACACAUGCAAGUCGAACGGUAAGGCCCUUUCGGGGGUACACGAGUGGCGAACGGGUGAGUAACACGUGGGUGAUCUGCCCUGCACUUUGGGAUAAGCCUGGGAAACUGGGUCUAAUACCGGAUAGGACUACGCGAUGCAUGUCGUGUGGUGGAAAGCUUUUGCGGUGUGGGAUGGGCCCGCGGCCUAUCAGCUUGUUGGUGGGGUGAUGGCCUACCAAGGCGACGACGGGUAGCCGGCCUGAGAGGGUGUCCGGCCACACUGGGACUGAGGGACGGCCCAGACUCCUACGGGAGGCAGCAGUGGGGAAUAUUGCACAAUGGGCGCAAGCCUGAUGCAGAGACGCCGCGUGGGGGAUGACGGCCUUCGGGUUGUAAACCCCUUUCAGCACAGACGAAGCGUAAGUGACGGUAUGUGCAGAAGAAGCACCGGCCAACUACGUG
Molecule: ribosomal RNA, 464 nt
Filed under: uncultured bacterium
Lineage: Bacteria
Description: partial 16S ribosomal RNA
Rfam family: Bacterial small subunit ribosomal RNA
Source: RNAcentral